UUUUUUUUUUUUUNUUUUUUUUUUUUUUUUUUUUGUCUUUUGAGCUUUUAGGGCCUCACCUGCGGCAUGUGGAGGUUCCCAGACUAGGGGUCCAAUCAGAGCUAUUGCUACCAGCCUAUGCCAGAGCUGCAGCAACACCAGAUCUGAGCCAUGUCCAUGACCCACACCACAGGUCAGGGCAACGCCAGAUCCUUAACCCACUGAGCAAAGCCAGGGAUCAAACCCACAACCUCAUGGUUCCUAGUCAGAUUCGUUUCCACUGUGCCAUGAUGGGAACCCCGAGAGUGAUUUUUUAACUCAGGUAUUAUUCCCAUCUAAACAUAUUUCAUAGUUUCAUGGUUUGUUAAAAGGGUUGCGUCAGCUGAUGUAAAUUCAGAAUAUAACAUAUAGUAAGCAUUUGAUAACUACCAGUAUUAUUAAUAAGCACUGAUUAGCAUAGUGGAUGAAGAGAAGGCCCUAGAGUCUUGGUCAGAUGACCUGGUUCCUAGUCUAAGCUCUACCCAAAAGGUCCUAGAAGUAAAGAGAAACUGAGCUGGGAAGAGCCCUUGGAAAUUUUUUCAGUAUCUAGUCCAACAACCUCACUUUCAGAAACUUAGAAAGGCAUAAGAGCCUUGAGUUUAUUAGUCAUAGCUUACACGUCCUCCCACUCAUUUAAAAAUUUUUUAUUAAAGUAGUCGAUUUACAAUAUUCCUUCAAUUUCUGCUGCACAGCAAAGUGACCCAAUCAUACAUAUAUAUAUACAUUUUUUUCCACAUACUAUCUCCCAUCAUGUUCUAUCACAAGAGAUUAGAUUGUUUCCUGCACUAUACAGUAGGAUCCCACUGCUUAUCCAUCCCUAAUGUAAUUUCUACUCAUUUUUAAAGUGAGAGUUAUAAUCACACCCCCAUCGUGACUGUUGGAAAGCCCACUCAGGUUAGUGAUCCUCAAGCUGCUGGCACAGUAUCUGGCAGCAGAGUCAGUCUUUCAUUUAUAUUAACUGGUGGUGUCACUGUUGAUUCUCAGUUUAAUUAUCUUCCUCCCCUCUGGGACUGUGAAGCUAGAGGCUAGUACUCCUGGCUUAUGGUCAUGUCCGCACCAUCUGACACAGCAAUGGGCACAUAGUAGGUGCUCAGCCAAAGUUUGUUGAGUGAGUGAAGGAAACAUUUAUCCAAAGGUAGAAUUUAAGCAAAAGUCUGAAUCAGGACCCUGUCCUAACUCGUGGGUGCGAGUUUUCCACACUAUCCACGCUGGCUUCUUCUCUUUAACUUUGUAACUUGCUUCCCGUCGCUGGGGCUCAUCUCUCUGUUCCUCACCUUGGAUGUGGUCACAUCCCUCCUGCGGUGAGCAUGUGUGUCAUCCGCGGGCCUCUUGCAGAGACCUAUGGUUGUGUGUCUGAAUGGCCACUAGGUGGCAUGAUUGU
RNAcentral lists this long non-coding RNA (1399 nucleotides) under Sus scrofa (pig). RNAcentral's name for it is "lncRNA (ENSSSCG00030011564.1)". Lineage: Eukaryota; Metazoa; Chordata; Mammalia; Artiodactyla; Suidae. The record is from RNAcentral.